RNAcentral lists this ribosomal RNA (880 nucleotides) under Phyllosticta cordylinophila. Its description in RNAcentral is "LSU rRNA". It matches the Rfam family "Eukaryotic large subunit ribosomal RNA", at positions 37 to 932 of the family's 3401-position model. Lineage: Eukaryota; Fungi; Ascomycota; Dothideomycetes; Botryosphaeriales; Phyllostictaceae. The record is from RNAcentral.
AGCAUAUCAAUAAGCGGAGGAAAAGAAACCCAACAGGGAUUGCCUUUAGUAACGGCGAGUGAAGCGGCAAUAGCUCAAAUUUGAAAGCUGGCGUCUUCGACGUCCGCGUUGUAAUUUGUAGAGGAUGCUUCGGCGAAGACACCUGCCUAAGUCCCCUGGAACGGGGCGUCACAGAGGGUGAGAAUCCCGUAUGUGGCGGGCCGUCUAAGCCAUGUGAAGCUCCUUCGACGAGUCGAGUUGUUUGGGAAUGCAGCUCUAAAUGGGAGGUAAAUUUCUUCUAAAGCUAAAUAUUGGCCAGAGACCGAUAGCGCACAAGUAGAGUGAUCGAAAGAUGAAAAGCACUUUGGAAAGAGAGUUAAAAAGUACGUGAAAUUGUUGAAAGGGAAGCGCUUGCAACCAGACUCGCUCGCAGUUGCUCAGCCGGCCUCUUGGCCGGUGUACUCUUCUGCGAUCGGGCCAGCAUCAGUUCGGGCGGCCGGAUAAAGGUGUCGGGAAUGUAGCACCCUUCGGGGUGUGUUAUAGCCCGGCGCGGAAUGCGGCCAGCCUGGACUGAGGAUCUCGCUUCGGCAAGGAUGCUGGCGUAAUGGUUGUAAGCGGCCCGUCUUGAAACACGGACCAAGGAGUCUAACAUCUAUGCGAGUGUUUGGGUGUCAAACCCAUGCGCGUAAUGAAAGUGAACGGAGGUGGGAACCCCUCGCGGGGUGCACCAUCGACCGAUCCUGAUGUCUUCGGAUGGAUUUGAGUAAGAGCAUAGCUGUUGGGACCCGAAAGAUGGUGAACUAUGCCUGAAUAGGGUGAAGCCAGAGGAAACUCUGGUGGAGGCUCGCAGCGGUUCUGACGUGCAAAUCGAUCGUCAAAUUUGGGUAUAGGGCGAAAGACU